This is a long non-coding RNA of Tyto alba (common barn owl), 245 nucleotides long. RefSeq lists it as uncharacterized. The transcript has 2 exons. NCBI's taxonomy places the organism in Eukaryota, Metazoa, Chordata, Aves, Strigiformes, Tytonidae. The record is from RefSeq and is a predicted model, not a curated record.
GCCUGCGGGAGAGACGCAGCUCGUCACCGGCAUCUUCCAAGCCUCGGCAGAGAGCCCAAACCGCUUUGUGCGCGCUCGCACGGCGCCCUCCCCACCCCGGGAAGAAAUUCGGGUGCUGCAUCCUUCCUCCCUUGGAGGCACUGCCAGAAACCACGGCAUAACCCUCCCCGAGACCUAGAAGAGACCCCCUUGCUUACUGUCCUUUUCCAAGUUGUUUCUACCACAAGUAAAACAUUUGAACCGGC